This 786-nucleotide long non-coding RNA is filed under the name Nicotiana tabacum (common tobacco). Its description in RNAcentral is "long non-coding RNA (NTAB_LNC005242)". Lineage: Eukaryota; Viridiplantae; Streptophyta; Magnoliopsida; Solanales; Solanaceae. The record is from RNAcentral.
AAGGAUGAGCUUCUGUCCAAAGGAGAAAUGGAAGAUUACAGAGUUAUCACAUAAGUCAUAAUGCCAAAGUCAUAUGGCAUUCCAACAACAGCAGGUGAUAUAGAUCUGUGCAAAAUAGCAGGAGUUACAAUUGCUGUCAACAAAAAUAAUAAAUUAUUAUGUAAAUAAAUUAGCCGAGUCUCUGUUUCCUUCCCCUUUGUGAAUGAAGUAUGAAUGUUAGUAUAACUUAACUAAAUUUAGGUGCUUCCUGUUAUUUCACUUGCUUCCUCAUACGCGGUCCAGUGUCUAAUAUAGUACCCAAAGACAGAGAACCUGGAGGCAGCAAACUUUUUCUGCGUAUUUUCUAAAACUCUGACCUAGAAGAAUCAGAAGAAGAGACAAAGUGGAGGUAUAUGAGAUAAUUUAGCCCCAGUAAAAUGAGAGCAAAAACCAUUGAUAUUCCUCAUGAGAAAUAUAGAUAGAGAUGAAUCAUAAACACUUAAAAAAUAGAGAAGACAUAAAUAUGCAUAAGAAAUUUAACAAAAAUGGUAAUUCAUUGAAGAAUUAUCUCAAACACCUAGAGAACAAAAGCCAUAACAGAAAUAGUAAUUCAUUGAAGAAUUUUCUCAAACACCUAGAGAACAAAAGCCAUUGAUACUCCUCAAGAAAAAUAUAGAUAAAGAUGAAUCAAAUAGAUGGUAGAAGGGAUACCCACCAAAAAAUACGAUUGACGGAAAAAAAACCACUGAAGUGCAAACUUGACAACAAGAGGACAGACAUAGAGAGCAGACGUUCUAGAUUUUUCUU